Raphanus sativus (radish) is the source of this 1679-nucleotide RNA transcript. It is a transcript of the gene named thioredoxin-like fold domain-containing protein MRL7L, chloroplastic, with no coding region annotated. NCBI's taxonomy places the organism in Eukaryota, Viridiplantae, Streptophyta, Magnoliopsida, Brassicales, Brassicaceae. The transcript is spliced from 7 exons. The record is from RefSeq and is a predicted model, not a curated record.
UAAUGUUUCUAUUAGGGUUUUACAGAGUUUUAAGGUUGGGAAGACAAAGAAGAAGAAGAAGAAGAAGAAGAAAGCACAAUCAAAUUCAGUUUUCUCAAUUCACGCUUCGGAUUGUCACCCAUCUCAAAUCCAGAUUCGUUGAACUGAUUCGAUUACAUUUCGAAACCUCGAUUCCUCUCGCGAGCCUUGAUUCUAUUUUUGGCUGCCAGAGGAAAUGAUUCUCCCAUACACAACACGAUUCACAUGCCCUGUUUUAGAGAUUGGAUUCAUCGUCCCUUACCCGCUAGUUUCCGGCGUUCCCGCUUCUGCCCUUUGCAAAAGAAACGGUUUUGAGCUCACUUCUCCCAGAUAUGACUGUUCUGCCUCCUCGGUUAAUGCUAUGAGGUGUAGAAGAAAUGUGAGAGCUUUUGGGUUGGUUGAUAAACUUGGGAAGAAGUCAUGGAGAAAGAAAGAAGAAAGCGACAGUGACGAUGAUGAUGAGGAGGAUGAGGUGAAGAAAGAUACCUCCUCCGAGAAAAGAUCAUCAACUCUGGAUGAUCCAGAGGAGAGACGGGAAUGGAGGAAGAAGAUACGAGAGGUGAUUGAUAGCCACCCUGACGUCGAAGAGGAGGAGGAGAUUGACAUGGUGGAGAAGAGGAGGAAGAUGCAGAAGCUUCUUGCUGAUUACCCUCUUGUUGUCAACGAGGAGGAUCCUGAUUGGCCUGAAGAUGCUGAUGGCUGGGGGUUUAGCUUCAACCAGUUUUUUAAUAAGAUAACUAUUAAGAAUGAAAAAAAGGAUGAUGAUGAUGAUGAUGAUGAAGAUGAUGAUAGGGAGAAGGAGAUUGUUUGGCAAGAUGAUAAUUACAUACGACCGAUUAAAGAUCUCACUACUGCGGAAUGGGAGGAGGCGGUGUUCAAAGAUAUCAGUCCUCUCAUGGUUCUUGUUCACAACCGCUACAAAAGGCCAAAGGAAAAUGAAAAAUUCAGGGAAGAGCUAGAUAAGGCUAUUCAGGUCAUAUGGAACUGUGGACUUCCUUCACCAAGAUGUGUUGCUGUUGAUGCUGUGGUUGAGACAGAUCUGGUCUCUGCUCUGCAAGUUACUGUGUUCCCAGAGAUCAUCUUCACUAAAGCUGGAAAGAUAUUAUACCGUGAGAAAGGCAUUAGGACAGCAGAUGAGCUCUCAAAGAUCAUGGCCUUCUUCUAUUAUGGAGCUGCAAAGCCACCUUGUUUGAAUGGUGUUGACUAUUCCCAAGAACAGAUUCCUUCAGUCGAUCUGCAUUAGGACAGCAGAUGAGCUCUCAAAGAUCAUGGCCUUCUUCUAUUAUGGAGCUGCAAAGCCACCUUGUUUGAAUGGUGUUGACUAUUCCCAUGAACAGAUUCCUUCAGUCGAUCUUAUGAUUAAGAAUCUAGAAGGUGCCACUCAUUACCAGACAGAUACUUACGGCGGUGGAAGCACCGGAAGGGCCGUUGAAGAUGAUUCCUGUUAACAUCACACUGUAGGUAGAUCUUAGGCAGUUGAAAUGUGAAGCCAUCUAAGAAAUGCAUCCAUCAAAACCCAGUAGAUUCAGGUUGUAGUUUCUUCAUUCUCGUUCUUUGAUUCAUUGGAUAUCAGGAUAUAUAUGUAGUUGAUACUUCAACUAACUCGUUAGACAUCUGUUGUUUUGCUCGGAGUUUAUAGGUACAAUAUACAAUAUUUCUUA